UAAUUGAAGAGUUUGAUCAUGGCUCAGAUUGAACGCUGGCGGCAGGCUUAACACAUGCAAGUCGAGCGGUAGCACAGGGGAGCUUGCUCCCUGGGUGACGAGCGGCGGACGGGUGAGUAAUGUCUGGGAAACUGCCUGAUGGAGGGGGAUAACUACUGGAAACGGUAGCUAAUACCGCAUAACGUCGCAAGACCAAAGAGGGGGACCUUCGGGCCUCUUGCCAUCAGAUGUGCCCAGAUGGGAUUAGCUAGUAGGUGGGGUAAUGGCUCACCUAGGCGACGAUCCCUAGCUGGUCUGAGAGGAUGACCAGCCACACUGGAACUGAGACACGGUCCAGACUCCUACGGGAGGCAGCAGUGGGGAAUAUUGCACAAUGGGCGCAAGCCUGAUGCAGCCAUGCCGCGUGUGUGAAGAAGGCCUUCGGGUUGUAAAGCACUUUCAGCGAGGAGGAAGGUGGUGAGCUUAAUACGCUCAUCAAUUGACGUUACUCGCAGAAGAAGCACCGGCUAACUCCGUGCCAGCAGCCGCGGUAAUACGGAGGGUGCAAGCGUUAAUCGGAAUUACUGGGCGUAAAGCGCACGCAGGCGGUUUGUUAAGUCAGAUGUGAAAUCCCCGGGCUCAACCUGGGAACUGCAUUUGAAACUGGCAAGCUAGAGUCUCGUAGAGGGGGGUAGAAUUCCAGGUGUAGCGGUGAAAUGCGUAGAGAUCUGGAGGAAUACCGGUGGCGAAGGCGGCCCCCUGGACGAAGACUGACGCUCAGGUGCGAAAGCGUGGGGAGCAAACAGGAUUAGAUACCCUGGUAGUCCACGCUGUAAACGAUGUCGAUUUGGAGGUUGUGCCCUUGAGGCGUGGCUUCCGGAGCUAACGCGUUAAAUCGACCGCCUGGGGAGUACGGCCGCAAGGUUAAAACUCAAAUGAAUUGACGGGGGCCCGCACAAGCGGUGGAGCAUGUGGUUUAAUUCGAUGCAACGCGAAGAACCUUACCUACUCUUGACAUCCAGAGAACUUUCCAGAGAUGGAUUGGUGCCUUCGGGAACUCUGAGACAGGUGCUGCAUGGCUGUCGUCAGCUCGUGUUGUGAAAUGUUGGGUUAAGUCCCGCAACGAGCGCAACCCUUAUCCUUUGUUGCCAGCGGUUCGGCCGGGAACUCAAAGGAGACUGCCAGUGAUAAACUGGAGGAAGGUGGGGAUGACGUCAAGUCAUCAUGGCCCUUACGAGUAGGGCUACACACGUGCUACAAUGGCGUAUACAAAGAGAAGCGAUCUCGCGAGAGCAAGCGGACCUCAUAAAGUACGUCGUAGUCCGGAUUGGAGUCUGCAACUCGACUCCAUGAAGUCGGAAUCGCUAGUAAUCGUAGAUCAGAAUGCUACGGUGAAUACGUUCCCGGGCCUUGUACACACCGCCCGUCACACCAUGGGAGUGGGUUGCAAAAGAAGUAGGUAGCUUAACCUUCGGGAGGGCGCUUACCACUUUGUGAUUCAUGACUGGGGUGAAGUCGUAACAAGGUAACCGUAGGGGAACCUGCGGUUGGAUCACCUCCUUA
RNAcentral lists this ribosomal RNA (1542 nucleotides) under Serratia marcescens. RNAcentral describes it as "bacterial SSU rRNA". It matches the Rfam family "Bacterial small subunit ribosomal RNA". Lineage: Bacteria; Pseudomonadati; Pseudomonadota; Gammaproteobacteria; Enterobacterales; Yersiniaceae. The record is from RNAcentral.